UGACCAGACUCCUACGGGAGGCAGCAGUGAGGAAUAUUGGUCAAUGGUCGGGAGACUGAACCAGCCAAGCCGCGUGAGGGAGGAAGGUACAGAGUAUCGUAAACCUCUUUUGUCAGGGAACAAAGACUGGGACGCGUCCCCGGAUGAGUGUACCUGAAGAAAAAGCAUCGGCUAACUCCGUGCCAGCAGCCGCGGUAAUACGGAGGAUGCGAGCGUUAUCCGGAUUUAUUGGGUUUAAAGGGUGCGUAGGCGGAAUGCCAAGUCAGCGGUAAAAUCGCGGGGCUCAACCUCGCUCCGCCGUUGAAACUGGCGCUCUUGAGUGGGCGAGAAGUAUGCGGAAUGCGUGGUGUAGCGGUGAAAUGCAUAGAUAUCACGCAGAACUCCGAUUGCGAAGGCAGCAUACCGGCGCCCAACUGACGCUGAAGCACGAAAGCGUGGGUAUCGAACAGGAUUAGAUACCCCGGUAGC
Molecule: ribosomal RNA, 468 nt
Filed under: uncultured bacterium
Lineage: Bacteria
Description: bacterial SSU rRNA
Rfam family: Bacterial small subunit ribosomal RNA
Source: RNAcentral